UCUCAUUCAUUAGGCAAGUGGGAAACAAGGAAUUGAAUUAUCAAGUGAGUGGGGCGACUCUCUAAUUCACAGAUAAAGUGAGUCAGGAAUCUUGACCCCGUGCUUAGGUCGGGGCGGGAUGACCCGGGGAAGGCCACGUCCCUCCCCUUAUUAGAAAACAAAGAACAUAGCUAUGAGUUGACCAGAUAUAUUAGCUGAAGAUGGAACAGGCUUCCCGCAUCAAAAACAUCAACAAGAUGAUCAGCUUGCCUCAAUAAAGACACAUGGUACAGUAUGGUAAUGCGACCCCCCUCUUCAGGAACACAAGUUCGAAACAAGGAAGGGGGCGUGUAGUGAGGGUCUCACCGAUAGCUGGAUUGAAGAAAAGCACAAAACAAGGUAGCUCUAGCCGAACCGAUAGCUGGAUUGAAUUCUAACGAUCGAAGAACCCUGCCGCUUGGGUUGUUGAAAGUGAGAAUCCUUGAAAUUGCUUAUGAUAUGGAAUAUUUGAUUGAGACUACGCCGCUCCUCUUGACGACUCUACUUCGUAACCUAGAUAUUCUCAGUUUCUCCCAAGCGGGAAAUAAGGGAAUAUGGAAUAUUGGAAUUCACUACUGAACUGUUCUUCACUCAACGCCUCUUCCUUGAACAUGGUUAGCUUCGCUUUCAUCUACCUUCCCGUCGCGGGCUAAGUACUAACUAAGGUGAUUUUACUCUCCCUUGAGUAGAGAUAAUUAGAACUUAGCUUUCAAUUGAUCUUCCCCACUGACAGACUGAAACUGGCCUAAAAGCAGCCGUUCUCAUUCCCUUCAAAUCAGUGGCUUCCUAGCCCAUUCAUUACCUUCCUUUCCGUUAACUAUUGAGUCGAUUUCAUCUCCUUCGACAAAACAGCCAACCUUUAUAUACGAAAGACUUACCCUUAGAUGCAUUUUAACCCUGAGCAAGGGACAAGCCAAGACUUGUCUGAUCGAAUGCAAUAAGCAAAUGAAUUGUGUGCGUCAUCCAUAACGAAAUCGACAUUCUUCUUUCAUUUCAUCAACAAAUGAAUGAUGGAUUGUUAUGUGCGCGCCGUGCCCCCCUGACUUUGGUUGGAGUUCUUCGCUUCGCUAGUGACAGUUGUGUUAUUCCUUCACUGAAGAAGCCCUCGGACUGUGCUGCUGGCUGAGCCGCUUCUCUUCUCAUUGUGUCCGGUAGUGCCCAACGGGCUAUUCAAUUACUUACUGACCUGUCUCAGUCGUUGAAACCUCGAUUCGAUACCUACAAUGAAUUGCGAGGCUAGGCUUAGGUUCUGUUUUGGACAGUUAGGCUCUGCAAAGUGUAGAGGAGAAAAAGCAUAAUCCUAAGUAUGGGGAAUACUCGAGACAAGGGGCUGCUACCCUUGCUUUCUUUACUCGUUCGUUGAGCUCUUAGCUUUGCUUCUGUCGGCUGGAUUGGUUAUGCUAUGCUUUUUGUCUACUAUAGUAUGCUAGAGCUUGCAGGCCGAGCCUCCUCAUUCUGCUAUGCCCGGUGGUCUAAAGCACGGUUCAACUGCGGUGUGUAAUGUGAUGUCUGAAUUGCCCAUUAAGGGCUGACUCCGCCAGGCAAAGGCAAGAGGACCACUACUGUGAUGUAACUGAUGAUCAGUGGACUCUUCUUCCUCUACUACUGAGACUGACCGACCUGCUAAGAGGGUGGUAGAGGCAUUUUAAAGGAUAUCGGGGGAAAGAGAAAUAGAACCUAGAAGGAAAGGGAAGAGCUCUUCCUUAUUAUAUAUAUAAGAGGCAUGAUUCCUGCUUAAAAAGAGAAGGGGAAUUCCUAAUUCUUACACGGAUGAGACUGAUCACACCUGAAAAGUGAAAAAUUCUAACACCAAUCAUUUGAGUCUUACACCAAGAAUGGAUAAGCGGAUGAGUUUUCUAG
Molecule: long non-coding RNA, 1878 nt
Filed under: Panax ginseng (ginseng)
Lineage: Eukaryota; Viridiplantae; Streptophyta; Magnoliopsida; Apiales; Araliaceae
Description: long non-coding RNA (PGIN_LNC002045)
Source: RNAcentral